GACGAACGCUGGCGGCGUGCCUAAUACAUGCAAGUAGGACGCAGUUGCGAACGGGUGAGUAACGCGUAGGUAACUGCCUAUUAGAGGGGGAUAACUAUUGGAAACGAUAGCUAAUACCGCAUACUAGUAGAUGGACAUGCGUUGUAUUAGCUAGUAGGUAGGGUAAUGGCCUCCCUAGGCAACGAUACAUAGGCGAGCUUGCGAGGUGAACGAGCACACUGGGACUGCGACACGGCCCAGGCUCCCUCGGGAGGCAGGCGGAGGGAAUCUUCGGAAAUGGGGGGAACCCUGACCGCGCCACGCCGGGGGAGUGAAGGAAGGGUUCGGAUUGGAAAGCUCUGUUGUUAAGGGAGCGGUACUUAACCAGAAAGGGACGGCUAACUACGUGCCAGCAGCCGCGGUAAUAC
This 407-nucleotide ribosomal RNA is filed under the name uncultured bacterium. RNAcentral's name for it is "partial 16S ribosomal RNA". It matches the Rfam family "Bacterial small subunit ribosomal RNA", at positions 28 to 526 of the family's 1533-position model. The record is from RNAcentral.